CCUACGGUGUGCUGCAGUGGGGAAUAUUGGGCAAUGGGCGCAAGCCUGACCCAGCAACGCCGCGUGAAGGAAGAAGGCUUUCGGGUUGUAAACUUCUUUUCUCAGGGACGAAGCAAGUGACGGUACCUGAGGAAUAAGCCACGGCUAACUACGUGCCAGCAGCCGCGGUAAUACGUAGGGGGCAAGCGUUAUCAGGAUUUACUGGGGGUAAAGGGCGUGUAGGGUGGAAUGCCAGUCAUAUGCGAAAACCAUGGGGUCAACCUGUGGCCUGCAUUUGAAACUGUUUUUCUUGAGUACUGGAGAGGCAGACGGAAUUCCAAGUGUAGCGGUGAAAUGCGGAGAUAUUAGGAGGAACACCAGUGGCGAAGGCGGUCUGCUGGACAGCAACUGACGCUGAGGCGCGAAAGCGUGGGGAGCAAACAGGAUUAGAUACCCUUGUAGUC
Molecule: ribosomal RNA, 443 nt
Filed under: uncultured bacterium
Lineage: Bacteria
Description: partial 16S ribosomal RNA
Rfam family: Bacterial small subunit ribosomal RNA
Source: RNAcentral